CCGGGGAUGAAGGCGUUCGGCGGCGCUGGGGGCCGGUGCAUCAUGCUCACAGUGCAAUAGGCUGUCUGCCGCCUCUCCAACAAACGCCAAGAUGACAUGAGCCAACAGGCCUGCUUGCUGCCAUCCUGGGAAGCAAGACGGCACAUGAAAGCCAAAUAUUUGGAAGUUUUUUCAGCUCCUGGAGGAAAAUAGUGUUUUGGUCAUUUAAACAGCAGUGUGGAAUGCAUUUUCCACAGGUACUUGGAAGGAGAGCGAGGGGUAUGGACAGGUGAAAGCCACCACACAAACUGGGGACAGUCACUAAGAGCAAAGCUCCAUGAUAUCAGGAAACACGCCUCCAGAGGUACCUCCUCCUUCCUGACGCCCAGAACAGGUGACCAUGUGACUAUAUGUGGCCAAAGGAACUUGGCAGAUGUGACUAGGGUAAGAACCUUGAGGAUGGUCCAUUUUACCUCAGCGGGCAUAUGAACAAAGCUGAGAUGUCUCUCAGCUGUGGUCAGAGGAAGCAUGACCACUGAGGGAGAGCUGCAGAUAAAGGGACCUGUCCUGAGCCAGAGAGGAGACAGAAAAGGCAGAAACCUUUGCUUCCCCCUGGCUUCCAGCAAGGAUCACAGCCCUGCUCAGUCCUUGACC
This is a long non-coding RNA of Meriones unguiculatus (Mongolian gerbil), 633 nucleotides long. RefSeq lists it as uncharacterized. NCBI's taxonomy places the organism in Eukaryota, Metazoa, Chordata, Mammalia, Rodentia, Muridae. The record is from RefSeq and is a predicted model, not a curated record. The transcript has 3 exons.